This is a long non-coding RNA of Mus pahari (shrew mouse), 1227 nucleotides long. RefSeq lists it as uncharacterized. The record is from RefSeq and is a predicted model, not a curated record. Lineage: Eukaryota; Metazoa; Chordata; Mammalia; Rodentia; Muridae. The transcript is spliced from 3 exons.
AGUUAUCAGGCCACUGUCACAACGUACCCUAAGGGACUGAAGUUUCCCCCCAAAAAAGGUCUCACGGUGGAGGAAAAGCCUGAAGCCUGUUGCCAGCCAGAAGAGGGACUUGCCUCUCAGGACACAGCACAGUGCUGCUGCUAACUGCACAGCGAGGGAGCAGAGCCGGGAGCUGAAGGUGUGCUGUGUCAGUGACAGAAUGGAAAACCAAGAUAGCAGCCCUGACAAGAUCCACCCCUGAGGAUUCUGGGAUGCCUGGUCCUGCCUCAGGCUGUUCCAAUGCUGUUUCCUCAAGAGACUUGCUUCCAGAACAGCUUCAGAAAGCUGCUGACCCCAGAUGAUCUUAAUUCAUCCAGCUGUACAAACUGAUCUAGUCGGGACUUCCCUAAAGCCUGAAUUUUCCCAGCAUAUAGAGACUGGACAACAAACGCUGCCAGCUAGCUUUCUUUUGACUUAACCAUUUUUCCUUUCCCUUGGGCCCUCAAAAAGGAAUUCUUCAUCCAAAUUCAGCAGGAAGCAAUUAUCAGAAGACUUUCAUCUUAGUCCCUUAAGUUGGAUCUUUUUUGACAUCAAGACAUAUCAGCGCCUGGCAGCAUCCCAUUCAACUUGGAGGAAGAUGAUAAAAUCAAAAGACCUCCAUUUGGAGGUGGCUUCAAUUGUGGCAAGCCAGCCGCUGGGCAAAGAAAAUACCCUCACUUCAUCUGCAGACAAAAUGCUGUUCAAAAAGGACAAACGGAUGUAGGGAAGUCUGUUGCCAAGCGCUGCCAAUACAGGGUAAGCAAGGCCUUCAUAACCCGUGCUUCACAGAUGUCUGUCAGAUGUUCUGGGCCAGAAGGCUGGAGAGGAUGCUCCAACAUUUAGAGAAUAUUGGGGACUGUCUAGGCAGUUAGCUGUCUCUGUCAUUUUUAAUUAUUGGAAGCUGUGUCCUGUGCUUCCUGCACACUCAGCUAAUAUUUAUUCCGUCUCAGGUCUCUGAUGGGGUUGAAGACUACACAGUCAUCGUCUUACCAUAAGCUUAAGUUGUUUAGGAUUUAAGCAGAUGCUUUAGGUCUAAAAUAAUGUUUUUAGAAAGGUAAUACAAGGUAGGAUAGAAAAUUAUUUUGAUAUAGAACCCUGAACUCACCAAGAUGGGAUAAGUGAUAGAACCCUGAAUUCACCAAGAUGGGAUAAGUUGCCAAAUAUAAACGGACUAGACAUUAUGGAUAUAAAUCUUACCUAAUAGUUUUC